UACGGAGGGUGCAAGCGUUAAUCGGAAUUACUGGGCGUAAAGCGCACGCAGGCGGUUUGUUAAGUCAGAUGUGAAUUCCCCGGGCUCAACCUGGGAACUGCAUUUGGAACCGGCAAGCUAGAGUCUCGUAGAGGGGGGUAGAAUUCCAGGUGUAGCGGCGAAAUGCGUAGAGAUCUGGAGGAAUACCGGUGGCGAAGGCGGCCCCCUGGACGAAGACUGACGCUCAGGUGCGAAAGCGUGGGGAGCAAACAGA
Molecule: ribosomal RNA, 253 nt
Filed under: uncultured bacterium
Lineage: Bacteria
Description: partial 16S ribosomal RNA
Rfam family: Bacterial small subunit ribosomal RNA
Source: RNAcentral